Molecule: ribosomal RNA, 465 nt
Filed under: uncultured Derxia sp.
Lineage: Bacteria; Pseudomonadati; Pseudomonadota; Betaproteobacteria; Burkholderiales; Alcaligenaceae
Description: bacterial SSU rRNA
Rfam family: Bacterial small subunit ribosomal RNA
Source: RNAcentral
UUGACGGGGCCGCACAAGCGGUGGAGUAUGUGGAUUAAUUCGAUGCAACGCGAAAACCUUACCUACGCUUGACAUGUCAGGAACCUCGAAGAGAUUUGAGGGUGCCGAAAGGGAACCUGAACACAGGUGCUGCAUGGCUGUCGUCAGCUCGUGUCGUGAGAUGUUGGGUUAAGUCCCGCAACGAGCGCAACCCUUAUCAUUAGUUGCUACGCAAGGGCACUCUAAUGAGACUGCCGGUGACAAACCGGAGGAAGGUGGGGAUGACGUCAAGUCCUCAUGGCCCUUAUGCGUAGGGCUUCACACGUCAUACAAUGGUCGGUACAGAGGGUUGCCAACCCGCGAGGGGGGAGCCAAUCCCACAAAGCCGAUCGUAGUCCGGAUUGCAGUCUGCAACUCGACUGCAUGAAGUCGGAAUCGCUAGUAAUCGCGGAUCAGCAUGUCGCGGUGAAUACGUUCCCGGGUCUU